GAUGAACGCUGGCGGCGUGCCUAAUACAUGCAAGUCGAGCGAACAGACGAGGAGCUUGCUCCUCUGACGUUAGCGGCGGACGGGUGAGUAACACGUGGAUAACCUACCUAUAAGACUGGGAUAACUUCGGGAAACCGGAGCUAAUACCGGAUAAUAUAUUGAACCGCAUGGUUCAAUAGUGAAAGACGGUUUUGCUGUCACUUAUAGAUGGAUCCGCGCCGCAUUAGCUAGUUGGUAAGGUAACGGCUUACCAAGGCAACGAUGCGUAGCCGACCUGAGAGGGUGAUCGGCCACACUGGAACUGCGACACGGUCCAGACUCCUACGGGAGGCAGCAGUAGGGAAUCUUCCGCAAUGGGCGAAAGCCUGACGGAGCAACGCCGCGUGAGUGAUGAAGGUCUUCGGAUCGUAAAACUCUGUUAUUAGGGAAAAACAAAUGUGUAAGUAACUAUGCACGUCUUGACGGUACCUAAUCAGAAAGCCACGGCUAACUACGUG
RNAcentral lists this ribosomal RNA (497 nucleotides) under uncultured bacterium. RNAcentral describes it as "partial 16S ribosomal RNA". It matches the Rfam family "Bacterial small subunit ribosomal RNA", at positions 28 to 507 of the family's 1533-position model. The record is from RNAcentral.